CGUUUGACCUCGGAUCAGGUAGGGAUACCCGCUGAACUUAAGCAUAUCAAUAAGCGGAGGAAAAGAAACCAACAGGGAUUGCCCUAGUAACGGCGAGUGAAGCGGCAACAGCUCAAAUUUGAAAUCUGGCUCUUUUAGGGUCCGAGUUGUAAUUUGCAGAGGGCGCUUUGGCUUUGGCAGCGGUCCAAGUUCCUUGGAACAGGACGUCACAGAGGGUGAGAAUCCCGUACGUGGUCGCUAGCUAUUGCCGUGUAAAGCCCCUUCGACGAGUCGAGUUGUUUGGGAAUGCAGCUCUAAAUGGGAGGUAAAUUUCUUCUAAAGCUAAAUAUUGGCCAGAGACCGAUAGCGCACAAGUAGAGUGAUCGAAAGAUGAAAAGCACUUUGGAAAGAGAGUCAAACAGCACGUGAAAUUGUUGAAAGGGAAGCGCUUGCAGCCAGACUUGCUUGCAGUUGCUCAUCCGGGCUUUUGCCCGGUGCACUCUUCUGUAGGCAGGCCAGCAUCAGUUUGGGCGGUGGGAUAAAGGUCUCUGACACGUUCCUUCCUUCGGGUUGGCCAUAUAGGGGAGACGUCAUACCACCAGCCUGGACUGAGGUCCGCGCAUCUGCUAGGAUGCUGGCGUAAUGGCUGUAAGCGGCCCGUCUUGAAACACGGACCAAGGAGUCUAACAUCUAUGCGAGUGUUUGGGUGUCAAGCCCGAGCGCGUAAUGAAAGUGAACGGAGGUGGGAACCCGCAAGGGCGCACCAUCGACCGAUCCUGAAGUUUACGGAAGGAUUUGAGUAAGAGCAUGGCUGUUGGGGACCCGAAAGAUGGUGAACUAUGCUUGAAAUAGGGUGAAGCCAGAAGGAAACUCUGGUGGAGGCUCGCAGCGG
Molecule: ribosomal RNA, 871 nt
Filed under: uncultured Ascomycota
Lineage: Eukaryota; Fungi; Ascomycota
Description: eukaryotic LSU rRNA
Rfam family: Eukaryotic large subunit ribosomal RNA
Source: RNAcentral